CCCUUAGGUGUUCUGGGCCGCACGCGCGCUACACUGAUGCAUUCAACGAGUCUAAAACCUGCUCUGAUAGGGGUGGGUAAUCUUUUGAAUGUGCAUCGUGAUUGGGAUAGAUGAUUGCAAUUUUUCAUCUUCAACGAGGAAUGCCUAGUAAACGCAAGUCAUCAGCUUGCAUUGAUUACGUCCCUGCCCUUUGUACACACCGCCCGUCGCUCCUACCGAUUGAAUGAUCCGAUGAAUAUCAUGGAUUGAGGAUGCAAGCAGGUUCGCCUGUCUUCAUCUUCGAGAAGUGAAGUAAAUCUUAUCAUUUAGAGGAAGGAGAAGUCGUAACA
RNAcentral lists this ribosomal RNA (329 nucleotides) under uncultured eukaryote. Its description in RNAcentral is "partial 18S ribosomal RNA". It matches the Rfam family "Eukaryotic small subunit ribosomal RNA", at positions 1470 to 1796 of the family's 1831-position model. The record is from RNAcentral.